This 1032-nucleotide ribosomal RNA is filed under the name Triticum aestivum (bread wheat). RNAcentral's name for it is "partial small subunit ribosomal RNA". The record is from RNAcentral. Lineage: Eukaryota; Viridiplantae; Streptophyta; Magnoliopsida; Poales; Poaceae.
AUGGCGGCGUCUCUCCGAGCGUCCUCCUCCCCCCUCCGCUCGCGCCUCCUCUCCUCCCCCGCCGCCUGGUCUCCCUGGCGCCUGCUCCUCUCCUCCUCCGUCCACUCGGACGCCGCCCACCAGACCGAAACCCUCGCCUUCCACGAGAUCCAGCUCUCCCCUGAGAAGCCCCCCACCGCCACCGCCUUCGUCCUCCACGGCCUCCUGGGCUCCGGCCGCAACUGGCGCACCUUCUCCCGCACCCUCGCCUCCCAGCUCCGUGACCGCUCCCCCGCCGACGAGUGGAAGAUGGUUCUUGUGGAUUUGAGGAACCAUGGGAGCUCAGCCAGGAUCAAAGGGCUGAGCCCGCCCCAUGAUAUGUCGAGUGCCGCCAAGGAUCUUGCUGAUUUGGUGAAGGCUCGGGGCUGGACAUGGCCGGAUGUUGUCGUGGGUCACUCAAUGGGUGGAAAGGUCGCACUGGAUUUCACAGAGAGUUGCUCCCGUGGCGAUUACGGAGAAUCUGCUGCUCUUCCCAAACAGCUCUGGGUGCUUGAUUCUGUCCCUGGAGAAGUAAAAAUAGAUAACAGUGAUGGCGAAGUUGAACGGGUUUUGGAAACACUAGCAAGUCUUCCUUCAUCGCUUCCAUCGCGCAAGUGGGUUGUGGACCACAUGGUCAGCCUGGGAUUCUCCAAGUCACUUUCAGACUGGAUUGGCAGCAACUUGAAGAAGGACAAUGAACAUGUGACCUGGGCUUUUGAUCUUCAGGCUGCCACAGACAUGUUUAAUUCUUACAGAGAUAGAAGCUACUGGGGACUGCUGGAGAACCCACCAAAGGGUUUGGAGAUCUCGAUAGUACAGGCAGAGCUCAGUGAUAGAUGGCACCCUGAGGAUGUCCAGAGGCUAAAAGCACUGUCAAGGAGAGGCAGCAAACCUGACGCGGGCAAAGUGUCGCUCCACGUUCUCCCUAACUCCGGCCAUUGGGUUCAUGUGGACAACCCCAAGGGGCUGCUCGAGAUCAUGGCGCCUAACUUCCUCUCCACUGUUCAAAAUUGA